CUGCUGAACCCGAGCGUGGGUGACCGUGGCUCUCCACGUCCUUCCCUGACAGCUUCCACCCCGCAGGCCAGCGGGCAGCGAGCCCAGCGUGGACGCCCUCCCCACUAGAAUUUUUAUAGUUUUAGAUUUUACAUUUGUGUUUGGUGAAGAGGUUGGUCUGAUACAAGCUAAUCCACCAUAUCCAGAAGCAAUACAAAGAGCAUGGACUUUGGAGCCAGAACUCCAGGAUUCAAAUCCCAGUUCCAUCGUUUACUUGUCCUGUGAUCAUGAACAAGGUGUCCUACAUAGGCCAGGACUGCAGAGAGAUUCCAGAGCACCUCGGCAGGGACUGUGGACAUUUUGCAAAGAGGCUUGAUCUGAGCUUUAACCUUCUGAGGUCACUGGAAGGACUGAGCGCGUUCGGGAGCCUGGAGGAACUCAUCUUGGACAACAAUCUGCUCGGGGAUGACCUCGUGUUGCCAGGGUUACCCAGGCUCCACACCUUAACCCUCAACAAGAACCAAGUCACUGACUUGGAGUGUCUGCUUGAUCACCUGGCAGAAGUGACACCAGCUCUGGAGUACCUCAGCCUGCUGGGAAAUGUGGCAUGUCCCAACGAGCUAGUCAGCCUGGAAAAGGAUGAGGAAGACUACAAGAGAUACAGAUGCUUUGUUCUGCACAAGCUGCCCAAUUUGAAGUUUCUGGAUGCUCGUAAAGUAACCAAACAAGAACGAGAGGAAGCUUUGGUCAGAGGGGCGUUCAUGAAGGUGGUGAAGCCCAAGGCCUCCAGUGACAGCGUUGCCGCCUCUCCGAAGAGCCGCUACACACCCCUGCCUUCUGCUUCCAGGGAACUCACCAGUCACCGAGGUAUCCUGGGGAAGUGUCGCUAUGUUUACUAUGGGAAAAACUCAGAGGGCAACAGGUUUAUCCGCGAUGACCAGCUCUGAAGCAACAGAAACAUGAGGUCGGUCCAGCCUGAGGCAGUUUCUCCAAGAGAAGAUGGAGGAAGGACUGCUAAGUGAUUGGAAGUCUGACUUGCCUUUCAUGUCAGAAGAUGACUUCAUCGUUUGGAAACAGCAAACCCUCUGUGGUACCUCAGUGGGAUCGUUAGUGCUAUGAAGACUGAAGCCCAUAUGAACAUUUGUGUACAGAUCUUUCAACAGACCUAUGUUUUCAUUUCCUUAAAAUAAGUACUCAGAAGUGGGAAUGCUGGACCAGCGGUAAAGUAUCUUUAGAAGAGCAGAAGUCCUUAACUUGGAUAAAGUCGGUUUCUCCUUUUGUUACUCUCAAUAGGAAGAAAAAUUCCUCAACCUGAUGAAAAACCUACAGCUGACAUCAUCCAUAAGGCUGAAUGCUUUAUGUCCAUGAUAGGAAAGACACAAGGAUGUCUGUCUGCUCUCACCAGCUCAAUAUUUAAUUUUGUGUGGGAGAUCUUAACUAGUGCAAUAAGAAUCCCAUUUCUCAUUUCCUCAAGGUCCAAGCCUCACAAGCCAGGACUACUCAAGCACAUCCCAAACCUAUAGUCAUUCGUACUGUGACCCAGUUAAAUGGAGCUAUUGGUUUCCGUACAAGUUUUCCUUCUGUAGAUCUUUGUGAAAGCUUGAACAUCAAGCUUUGUGAAAUGACUCUGAUUCUUCACUAUAUCUGUAUCUUGUUCAGUGGAGGACAUGCAGUCCUGGAGCUGAUUAUAGAAUCCAUUUCAAAAAUAAGCGGAGAGAGAGAGAGAAGGUGACUCCAAGCAAAAUGUCCCUGACAUUUCUUCAUUCCAAGAAGGUAUUUUUACCAUAAGAAGAAAUCAUAGAUUACUGGAGUUGGAAAAAGCCAUGGAUAAGAUCCUUGUACUGGAUGUAGAGAUCAAGCCCCACAGAGAUUAAAUGACUUGCCCAAGGUCACAGUUUCUUAGUCUCUUAGGAGAAAUAAUACAUUUUUCUAAAAUAGGAUGCUUCUCACAUUUUAGUCUUUUACUGUCCUUAGCAAAUUUAACCUUUUCCAUGCAGCUGUUGAGAUAACCUACUGGUUGUAUAAACUACAUCAACACAAGGGACGUAUCUCAGAAAAUGCCCCCAGACUGCCUCCCUUUUCAUUAUUGAAAACCACGAGAUGAAACUCUUUAAUAACUCACUGCACAAGAGGACCAUUACUGUCAGCAUAUACCACUCAGCCAUAUAUUAUAGCUUUUUACGUCUCCACACAAAAUUGCCUUGAAAUUUACAUUUGCUAUAAAGGAUUCAAGUCCAUCACCGUUAAUUUCCCUCUACAAAUUAUGUUUAAUUAUCACCUCUUUCCACCUAUAAAGAAGCCCCUCUUGUACUUCUGUCUCCAUAUAGCUCUCAAGAAGCGUUUCCCCAGCAUGAAUCUUUGAUGGUGAUUUUAUAUCCCUUACAUGCCCUUCCUUGUCAAGCUCACACAGCCCACUUAGAGAUAUGGAAAUGAAUGGCUUGCCUGGCUCUGCAUUUCCUGCAUACAUAUGAAGUCUGGUCUCUUUAAGCAGGAGAAAAAGAGGAACAUUUUCCAGCUUUAGCCUGUGGACAAUUAGGCUAGAAACAUCCCAUUCUAAGAUUCAAAGAAGCUUUGAAAGUCUAUCCAUGAUUGAUUGCUUAACAGGUCA
Balaenoptera ricei (Rice's whale) is the source of this 2587-nucleotide RNA transcript. It is a transcript of the gene named leucine rich melanocyte differentiation associated, with no coding region annotated. NCBI's taxonomy places the organism in Eukaryota, Metazoa, Chordata, Mammalia, Artiodactyla, Balaenopteridae. The record is from RefSeq and is a predicted model, not a curated record. The transcript has 13 exons.